GUCAAAGCGUUCAUUAAAGUCGAGUUGGCUUAGGGAUACGUUCGUUGGGUAGGGGAGCGUUCUGUAAGCCUGUGAAGGUGUGUCGUGAGGCAUGCUGGAGGUAUCAGAAGUGCGAAUGCUGACAUAAGUAACGAUAAAGCGGGUGAAAAGCCCGCUCGCCGGAAGACCAAGGGUUCCUGUCCAACGUUAAUCGGGGCAGGGUGAGUCGACCCCUAAGGCGAGGCCGAAAGGCGUAGUCGAUGGGAAACGGGUUAAUAUUCCCGUACUUGGUGUUACUGCGAAGGGGGGACGGAGAAGGCUAUGUUGGCCGGGCGACGGUUGUCCCGGUUUAAGCGUGUAGGUGUGUGUUCCAGGUAAAUCCGGUUCACUUUAACACUGAGGCGUGAUGACGAGGCACUACGGUG
Molecule: ribosomal RNA, 404 nt
Filed under: Salmonella enterica
Lineage: Bacteria; Pseudomonadati; Pseudomonadota; Gammaproteobacteria; Enterobacterales; Enterobacteriaceae
Description: partial 23S ribosomal RNA
Rfam family: Bacterial large subunit ribosomal RNA
Source: RNAcentral